UCCCGAGUGGCUUAGUGGUAAAGAAUCCACCUGCAAUGUAGGAGACACAGGUUCCAUCCCUGAUCCAGGAA
This 71-nucleotide transfer RNA is filed under the name Bos taurus (domestic cattle). It matches the Rfam family "tRNA". From Rfam's summary of the family: Transfer RNA (tRNA) molecules are approximately 80 nucleotides in length. RNAcentral also lists the same sequence under 5 other names. The record is from Rfam by way of RNAcentral. Lineage: Eukaryota; Metazoa; Chordata; Mammalia; Artiodactyla; Bovidae.